Larimichthys crocea (large yellow croaker) is the source of this 2797-nucleotide RNA transcript. It is a transcript of the gene named suppressor APC domain containing 2, with no coding region annotated. NCBI's taxonomy places the organism in Eukaryota, Metazoa, Chordata, Actinopteri, Sciaenidae. The record is from RefSeq and is a predicted model, not a curated record. The transcript is spliced from 7 exons.
UCGCGCACAGCCGUUUGAAGGGCGGUCCUCGUGCAGAAAAAGGAAAGUUUGGAUCAGUGAGCGGCGCAGUUUCGGUGGACGGACACAACAAUAUCUGGACUAUUUCUGGUUAAAAGUCUUUAAAAGGGUAUGUGUUUAGUUGUUUAGUAAGCUUAUAUUUUUGUUAAUUAUUCUGCGUGUUCAUAUAAAGUCUAGCCAACUUGUAUUGGCGUGUUUUUUGAUUGAUAGCUCAGCGGAGAUUAUCGACACAUUCAUGGCUUUGAUAGCGGCUGACCAGAGCUGCAAGCUGAACGGGACUUACGGCAGAGUUGGGCCGAGAAAAGAAGCCUUUCAGGGUAAAACUGCCAAAAUGCAGCAGAAAGAGACAGAGUAUUCAACAGACGGCCUGCCAAAAGCCUUCCUGCAAAGUUUGAGGACCCUGUUUGACAUUUUGGAUGACGGUCGACGGGGCUAUGUCCACAUCUCCGAGAUAGAGAGCCGCUGGCAGGGCGCAGACACCCGGGACCUGCCCGGUGGAGUGCUGGGCUGCCUCAGGAGAGUCACCCCGCCGCAUGGCUGCCUCACCUUUGAGCGGUUCGUUGCGGGGCUGCGGUACUCCAUGCUCAACCCGGAGAACAGCUCUCACUUCAAGGCCCAGGCUGCCGUGCAUCCACAGCAGGCAGCAAAGCAGAACCAGAAGCCCACAUGCAGUGUUGGGACACGGGUUGAGAGCAAGGUCCGUCCACUGGGGCUGAGCAACGUGACCAACACUCUGCAGCACCGGGCAUCCUCGCUGCAGAGCCGGGCCAGGCCACCAGAGGAGGGGGCUGGGUACCCCGUGUGUGGACCGGCCCCGUACAGCGCGGGCUUCGAGAGGUCAGGGAGGAGUGUGGAGCGGAGUUCAGUCGCUCCAGGGAGCGGGUGUUAUCGAGCCGACCCGGGCCAUGCCAACAAGCCAGCACAGCCCCAGCAGAGCCGGGUCAGGUCCAUUGAGUCGCUCGCUUUGGAGUCACCGCAGCUCCAUGGACCAAGUGUUGUGAAAUCAGGUUUACCAAGAUCUCAGAGUGAAUCGGCAACAGGAUUUAUAGGCGGCUCGAGGCGACACGGGCGGAGUCGGGAAGAGCAGAGGCGGCAUACCAUAACGAAUGGAGUGGAUUAUGGAAUGUUGAAGCAAAUGAAAGAGCUGGAGCAGGAGAAGGACUCGCUGCUGGCGGGCCUGGAAGUGGUGGAGCGGGCCCGAGACUGGUACCAGGGCCAAAUCCACAAUGUCACAGAGAGACAGCGGCAGGUCGGACAGAGCUCCCACUGCACGGAUUUCUUCACAGAAGCUAAUCAGAGUCGCAUGAAUGUUCUAAUACCCAAAUUGCAAGAAGUCAACCGCUGCCUUAAUGACCUUAUUUCCUGCACUGGGAUGCAGUCAUUUCCUUCUAGCACUGCUCAGACAGCUGCGCUCUCGGCUAACGCCCAGCCUCCCGGUCCAGCUCCUCCACAAGCCAUCCAGAGACUGAAGGACCAGAACCGACUUCUCACACAGGAGGUGACAGAGAGGAGCGAGCGGAUCGCCCAGCUGGAGCAGGAGAAGUCUGCCUUGAUAAAACAGCUUUUUGAAGCUCGAGCCCGCAGCGCGCAAGACACCAGCACCAUGGAUUCCACCUUCAUCUGAGACUAAUUACACUCCAUGCAGCACCGUAACAUCACCACGUUUCAGCCACGAGUCAUCAUGACACUGGCCUGGAGCUAAAAAACUUUUAGAAGACUGAACCGGUCUGUUGUUUACCCACACCUGUAGCAGUGAUGCACCUUUAGCCAUGACACAGCGACACCCUCAGCUGCAGCAGCAAUGUGACCACUCCACCCCAAAACCAAACAUGCACUACCUAGAUGUGAACACUCCAGAGGAGGAAUAGCUGUUAUGGCUAUAGUUUUGUUUUGUUUUUUGCCUUCACAUUUCCUGCAUGAACGCUCAAACUGAAAAGACUGGCAGGACAGAAAACAGUUGGGUCUCGUGAGAUCCCAUCACUCCCAUCACAGCAUCUGCAAGAUCUCCACCACCACUACCCAAGAGGCUUCUGCUUUUUACUUCUGCUGCUCAACUGCACAAGCAAUGGGGGAAAAAAACAUGAUCUUAGUGGUCCAAACAAAGGCAACAAGGGGAUUGAAAAAAAAGAGAUGGGAGGACAGCCUUCAAGCCAUCGAGAUGUUAGAGGCAGAGACAAAGACGAGGAGAGAAGAUUGCAUGUAGAACAGAAGGAGGAAGACGAACAUGGUAGACGGUGAAUGUGACGGAGCUGAAGCUCCUAGGUUGGGAGAUCUUCUGAUGUCAGGUCAGAAAAAAAAUAAAGAAAAAAUCACUUUGGCUAUCUAGUGCUACAUCCCCUGUAUGUUAUGUAGUCGUGUUUUCAGCUCAUAAGUAUUUAUCUUCUGAAGAUUUCUGUUUGAAACUUGGAGAUUAAACGAUAGCACAGAUGUAAAAUAAAAAAAACAUUUUGUCCUUGUAAGUGUCUUUACCAGGUUGGCUUUAGACUAAAACUGUAAAAAAAAACAUUUAGCCAUCCACGAGUUUACAAGAGAAAUAUUUAGUUAGUGGGUGGCGGUAGUUGUAGUUUUAUAAAGGAUCUGUAUGGUACUGCUGGGAUGACCACACUUAACAUAUUGUUGAUGUCUGCUUCCCACUUGAUUGUAUUGUUUCUUGCUGCUCAAACUACAUUAUGUGUGAGUGAAACUCUUUUCCUUCUGCUUUCUUUUGAGAAUACUCAAAGUUCAGAGGAAAAUAAUAAAUACAAACACAACAAAACACAAACACUGACUGUUGCUCUGU